ACAGAAGGUUAGAGAUGUGUGCGAGGAACGGCCAGGUCCAGCGUCUCCUCGUUGCUGCCCCUUGAGCCCGGGACCGGCGCCAAUGCGCGCCCGGGUUCUUGGGUUCUUUCGUCCCGCAGACCUGCCUUGGUGUGGCGUCCCUGGGCCGUAGCUUCCGAAGGCUGCAGCCGACCUGGUCGGGGUCCUCUAGCCCGCCUUCCCCUUCCCCCAUUGACAGAUGGAGAAACUGAGGCCCAGGCCAAAAAAUAUCUCACUAGAGGGCUCACCGCCAUUUCCUGGAAAAAUUGGGGCUGGGACUCAACGGACGCUCGUCCAGCAGCAGCGCGGAGCUCCGAAGUAAAGGCGCCCGUGACCGAGUGCUUUGUCCUUACAAGCGUGGUGUUCUUGAAUGCUUCCAGGCGCCUUAUGAGGCCCCCGAUGUACAAUCUGUGCUUAACUAAACCCCACUGUCUUCCAGGGUCAGGUUGGCCAUCCGCAGGCGUAGUUGCUAGGAAGGUUUGACAGAUGUCCGCCUGUUGAUUCAGACGUUCCCAGGAUUUGGAGCAAGAAGAGCAAGGAAGGCCAGGCGCGGUGGCUCACGUUUGUAAUCCCAGCACUUUGGGAGGCCGAGGCGGGCGGAUCACGAGGUCAGGAGUUCGAGACCAGCCUGGCCAGCAUGGUGAAACCCCGUCUCUACUAAAAAUACAAAAGAAAAUUAGCCGGGUGUGGUGGCACAUGCCUGUAGUCCCACCUACUUGGGAGGCUGAGGCAGGAGAAUUGUUUGACCUGGCAGGCGGAGGUUGCAGUGAGCCGAGAUUGCGCCACUGCACUCCAGUCUGGGCGACAGAGCGAGACUCUGUCUCAGAAAAAAAAAAGAGCAAGGAGGUGUUGAAAAUGGGUUUCCUGGCUGGGCGUGGUGGCUCACGCUUGUAAUCCCAGCACUUUGGGAAGCUGAGGUGGGCGGAUCACUUGAGGUCAGGAGUUUGAGACCAGCCUGGCCAACAUGGUGAAACACCGUCUCCACUAAAAAUAGAAAAAUUAACUGGGUGUGGUGGAGGGCGCCUGUAAUCCCAGCUAAUCAGGAAGCUGAGACAGGAGGAUCGCUUGAACCCAGGAGGCGGAGGUUGCAGUGAGCCGAGAUUGCUCCAUUGCACUCCAGCCUGGGCGAUAGAGUGAGACUCAGCCUCAAAAAAAAAAAAAAAAAAAAAUUCGCCAGGUGUGGUGGUGUGCGCCUAUAAUCCCAGCUACUCAGGAGGCAGAGGCACAAGAAUGGCUUGAAUCACUUGAACCUGGGAGGCAGAGGUUACAAUGAGCCGAGAUGGCACCACUGCACUCCAGCCUGGGCGACAGAGCGAGACUCCGACUUCCCAUCUUAAAAAAAAAAAAAAAAAAAAAAAAGAAGUGUAAAGAUGUGAUUAUGUGGCAGGGGGUAAGGGUUAAAAAGAAAACAAGAACAAGUUUUCCUCUGCUUAGCCAGCUUACUUCAAGGACAGUUAUAACACUGAAAAGUCGAGGCCAAAGGAAUGGGCUCCAGACAGCCUCCUCCGGAGCAAAGUUGAAAAGAAAAAUUCCUUUACUGUCUCUCCUUUUCUGAACCAUUAAAUAUGACUGUUUGCCAAUGGUUGUAUUUAGUAAGAUUUGUAGACUCUGUUUUUCUUUUGACACAGCUGCAAGGCCAACAGCUGUGCAAAGCCACAAGUUAUGCUAAGUCAGCAGUUAUGCUAUAGAUUACAUGACCUGUGACUGUAUCAUUAACUGCUUUUGUUUUGCUUCUGUAAGUUUGCCUAUAAAAACCACACUCAGUCUUUGUUCAAUGGUCAGCUUUUCAGAUACAAAUCCACUGAGCCGGUGUACAUCUAAAUAAAUCCUCCUGUUUCCCGUGU
This 1862-nucleotide long non-coding RNA is filed under the name Homo sapiens (human). RNAcentral's name for it is "HSALNT0396082". The record is from RNAcentral. Lineage: Eukaryota; Metazoa; Chordata; Mammalia; Primates; Hominidae.